This 465-nucleotide ribosomal RNA is filed under the name uncultured bacterium. RNAcentral's name for it is "partial 16S ribosomal RNA". It matches the Rfam family "Bacterial small subunit ribosomal RNA", at positions 28 to 507 of the family's 1533-position model. The record is from RNAcentral.
GAUGAACGCUGGCGGCGUGCUUAACACAUGCAAGUCGAACGGAAAGGCUCCUGCUUGCAGGGGUACUCGAGUGGCGAACGGGUGAGUAACACGUGGGUGAUCUGCCCUGCACUUCGGGAUAAGCCUGGGAAACUGGGUCUAAUACCGGAUAGGACCACAUUUUGGAUGGUGUGGUGGAAAGUUUUUCGGUGUGGGAUGAGCUCGCGGCCUAUCAGCUUGUUGGUGGGGUAAUGGCCUACCAAGGCGUCGACGGGUAGCCGGCCUGAGAGGGUGUACGGCCACAUUGGGACUGAGAUACGGCCCAGACUCCUACGGGAGGCAGCAGUGGGGAAUAUUGCACAAUGGGCGCAAGCCUGAUGCAGCGACGCCGCGUGGGGGAUGACGGCCUUCGGGUUGUAAACUCCUUCCGCUAGGGACGUAGCGCAAGUGACGGUACCUGGAGAAGAAGCACCGGCUAACUACGUG